GAGUUUGAUCAUGGCUCAGAUUGAACGCUGGCGGCAUGCUUUACACAUGCAAGUCGAACGGCAGCGCGGGCUUCGGCCUGGCGGCGAGUGGCGAACGGGUGAGUAAUAUAUCGGAACGUACCCAAGAGUGGGGGAUAACGUAGCGAAAGUUACGCUAAUACCGCAUACGAUCCAAGGAUGAAAGCAGGGGACCGCAAGGCCUUGUGCUCCUGGAGCGGCCGAUAUCUGAUUAGCUAGUUGGUGAGGUAAAGGCUCACCAAGGCAACGAUCAGUGGCUGGUCUGAGAGGACGACCAGCCACACUGGAACUGAGACACGGUCCAGACUCCUACGGGAGGCAGCAGUGGGGAAUAUUGCGCAAUGGACGAAAGUCUGACGCAGCGACGCCGCGUGUGGGAUGAAGCUCUUCGGGGUGUAAACCACUGUUGCCCGGGGACGAAAUGCCCUUUCGACGGGAAUUUGACGGUACCGGGUGAGGAAGCACCGGCUAACUCUGUGCCAGCCGCCGCCGUAA
This 513-nucleotide ribosomal RNA is filed under the name uncultured beta proteobacterium. RNAcentral describes it as "bacterial SSU rRNA". It matches the Rfam family "Bacterial small subunit ribosomal RNA", at positions 9 to 523 of the family's 1533-position model. The record is from RNAcentral. Lineage: Bacteria; Pseudomonadati; Pseudomonadota; Betaproteobacteria.